Molecule: ribosomal RNA, 287 nt
Filed under: Hoplopholcus cecconii
Lineage: Eukaryota; Metazoa; Arthropoda; Arachnida; Araneae; Pholcidae
Description: partial 12S ribosomal RNA
Source: RNAcentral
AAUACUCGUCCGAAUUAAAAACCCAUAUAAAAUGGCGGUCAUAAUUAAUUAGAGGAACUCGCUUUAUAAUCGUCAACACUCGAUAACUUUCACUUAAUAUUCAUAGCUUAUAUACCGCCGUCACAGAUUAUAUUAAAUUAUAUAAAUCAAAUAUUACUAAUUCAUAAAAAUCAGGUCAAGGUGUAGUUAAUAAUUAAGAAAAAGUAAGUUACAAUAAACACUAUUUAAGAAUCAAAUUUCAAAAGAAAAAUUGAAAAAGAAUCUAAUUUCAAAUUUAAAUUAAAAAU